Molecule: ribosomal RNA, 1058 nt
Filed under: Streptomyces nodosus
Lineage: Bacteria; Bacillati; Actinomycetota; Actinomycetes; Kitasatosporales; Streptomycetaceae
Description: bacterial SSU rRNA
Rfam family: Bacterial small subunit ribosomal RNA
Source: RNAcentral
GGAAGCCUGAUGCAGCGACGCCGCGUGAGGGAUGAAGGCCUUCGGGUUGUAAACCGCUUUCGGCGGGGAAGAAGCGAGAGUGUCUAAUCCUGCAGAAGAAGGACCGUCUAACUACAUGACGCCCCGCGUAACUACAUGUAAGCAGCCGGGGUUGUCCGGAAGUAUUGGGCGUAAAUAGCUCUUACGGGGCUUGACGCGUGGGUUGGGAAAGCCCGGGGAUUAACGCCGAAUCUGCGGUCUAAACCGGGAAACUACAUUUGGGAAGGGGAGAUCGGAAUUCCUGGUAUAGCGAUGAAAUGCCCAGAUAUCAGGAGGAACGCCGAUGGCGAAGGCGGAUCUCUGAUGCGAUACUGACGCCCCUGAGCGAAAGCUGACGCUCAUGCAAGGAUUAGAUACCCUGGUAGUCCACGCCGACCCUGGGGUCCUAGGUGUGGCGAUGUUCCUGUUGCCGUGCCGCAGUAACGCAUUAAGUGCCCCGCCUGGGGAGUACGACCGCCUGGGGAAAACUCACAGGAAUUGAAAACUCCCCGCAAAUGCGGGGGACCCUGUGAAUUAAUUCAAGACGUGGCUUAAAUCCUUACCACGGCUUGACAUAUACCGAACUGUAUUAUGGAUAGUGCCGCCCUUGAGUUCGGUGGACAGCUGAUGAAAGCCUGACAUCAGCUCGUGUCGGGAGAUGUUGAGUUAAGUCCCGGAACGAGCGCAACACUUGCCCCGUGUUGCGAGCACGUUCUUGUUGUGCUGGACGAUCAGGCAAGACAGUCGGACUCAACUCGAAAAAAGGUACGAACGACGUCAAGUCAUCAUGCCCCUUAGGCCUUGAUCUGCGCAGUGCUACAAUGACCGGUUGAAUGGGCUGCGAUAUCGCGAGCCGAGUGAACUCUAAACCCAGACUCAGAUUCGAUUGCGGAUUGCAUUCGACCCUUGAAUGCGGAUCCGAAUCAUCACAAUCGAUUGCUGAUGUGAAUGCGUUCGGUCCUUGUCUAGCGUCGGCCACCGUCCCAAAUGGAACGGCCUGAGCCGAAGCACAACGCUAUGCUGAAAGUGAGCUGUCUACA